This 483-nucleotide ribosomal RNA is filed under the name Pantoea sp. RNAcentral describes it as "bacterial SSU rRNA". It matches the Rfam family "Bacterial small subunit ribosomal RNA", at positions 56 to 529 of the family's 1533-position model. The record is from RNAcentral. Lineage: Bacteria; Pseudomonadati; Pseudomonadota; Gammaproteobacteria; Enterobacterales; Erwiniaceae.
UGCAGUCGGACGGUAGCACAGAGGAGCUUGCUCCUCGGGUGACGAGUGGCGGACGGGUGAGUAAUGUCUGGGGAUCUGCCCGAUAGAGGGGGAUAACCACUGGAAACGGUGGCUAAUACCGCAUAACGUCGCAAGACCAAAGAGGGGGACCUUCGGGCCUCUCACUAUCGGAUGAACCCAGAUGGGAUUAGCUAGUAGGCGGGGUAACGGCCCACCUAGGCGACGAUCCCUAGCUGGUCUGAGAGGAUGACCAGCCACACUGGAACUGAGACACGGUCCAGACUCCUACGGGAGGCAGCAGUGGGGAAUAUUGCACAAUGGGCGCAAGCCUGAUGCAGCCAUGCCGCGUGUAUGAAGAAGGCCUUCGGGUUGUAAAGUACUUUCAGCGGGGAGGAAGGCGAUGUGGUUAAUAACCUUGUUGAUUGACGUUACCCGCAGAAGAAGCACCGGCUAACUCCGUGCCAGCAGCCGCGGUAAUACGGA